This 470-nucleotide ribosomal RNA is filed under the name uncultured bacterium. RNAcentral describes it as "SSU rRNA". It matches the Rfam family "Bacterial small subunit ribosomal RNA", at positions 26 to 518 of the family's 1533-position model. The record is from RNAcentral.
AGGAUGAACGCUGGCGGCGUGCCUAACACAUGCAAGUCGAACGUCCUGUCUCGCAAGAGGCAGGGAGUGGCGGACGGGUGAGUACCACGUGGGUCAUCUACCGUGAGGUGAGGAAUACCGGCGAGAAAUCGCCGACAAGACCGCAUAGGCUCGAUGCAAGUCGAGCAAAGCUCUUUCGAGAGAGGGAGCGCCACACGAGGAGCCUGCGCCCGAUUAGCUAGCUGGUGGAGUAACGGUUCACCAGGGCGACGAUCGGUAGCUGGUCUGAGAGGACGAUCAGCCACACUGGGAUUGAGAACGGCCCAGACUCCUACGGGGGGCAGCAGUGAGGAAUUUUCGUCAAUGGGGGCAACCCUGAACGAGCAACGCCGCGUGCAGGAGAAGGUUUCGGAUCGUAAACUGCUUUUCUCGGGAAGAGAACGGACGGUACCCGAGGAAUCAGCCCCGGCUAACUACGUGACAGCAGCCGC